GACGAACGCUGGCGGCGUGCUUAACACAUGCAAGUCGAACGGAAAGGCCCUGCUUUUGUGGGGUGCUCGAGUGGCGAACGGGUGCGUAACACGUGAGUAACCUGCCCUUGACUUUGGGAUAACUUCAAGAAACUGGGGCUAAUACCGGAUAGGAGCUCCUGCUGCAUGGUGGGGGUUGGAAAGUUUCGGCGGUUGGGGAUGGACUCGCGGCUUAUCAGCUUGUUGGUGGGGUAGUGGCUUACCAAGGCUUUGACGGGUAGCCGGCCUGAGAGGGUGACCGGCCACAUUGGGACUGAGAGACGGCCCAGACUCCUACGUGAGGCAGCAGUGGGGAAUAUUGCACAAUGGGCGGAAGCCUGAUGCAGCAACGCCGCGUGCGGGAUGACGGCCUUCGGGUUGUAAACCGCUUUCGCCUGUGACGAAGCGUGGGUGACGGUAAUGGGUAAAGAAGCACCGGCUAACUACGUG
This 468-nucleotide ribosomal RNA is filed under the name uncultured bacterium. RNAcentral's name for it is "partial 16S ribosomal RNA". It matches the Rfam family "Bacterial small subunit ribosomal RNA", at positions 28 to 507 of the family's 1533-position model. The record is from RNAcentral.